RNAcentral lists this ribosomal RNA (359 nucleotides) under uncultured eukaryote. RNAcentral's name for it is "partial 18S ribosomal RNA". It matches the Rfam family "Eukaryotic small subunit ribosomal RNA", at positions 592 to 976 of the family's 1831-position model. The record is from RNAcentral.
CAAUAGCAUAUAUUAACGUUGUUGCAGUUGAAAAGCUCGUAGUUGAACUUUUGGUAGGAGCGACCUGGCCUUGGGCGCAUGCCCUUGUUUGCCGUGUGUCGUAUCUGGCCAUCCUUUCUUCUUCGGAAGGAAUCUUUUACUGUGAGUAAACUGGAGUGCUCAAAACAAGACGUUUGUUUGGUACAUUAAAGCAUGGAAUAAUAAGAUAGGACCUGGUUACUAUUUUGUUGGUUUGCAUAGCUAGGUAAUGAUUAACAGGGACAGUUGGGGGUAUUCGUAUUUAAUUGUCAGAGGUGAAAUUCUUGGAUUUAUGAAAGACGAACGACUGCGAAAGCAUUUACCAAGGAUGUUUUCAUUAA